ACACUGAUGGUUCAGCGAUAGAAUUCUUGCCUUCCACGCAAGAGACCCAGGUUCUAUUCCCAGUCAAUGCA
RNAcentral lists this transfer RNA (71 nucleotides) under Loxodonta africana (African savanna elephant). It matches the Rfam family "tRNA". Rfam says of the family: Transfer RNA (tRNA) molecules are approximately 80 nucleotides in length. Their secondary structure includes four short double-helical elements and three loops (D, anti-codon, and T loops). The record is from Rfam by way of RNAcentral. Lineage: Eukaryota; Metazoa; Chordata; Mammalia; Proboscidea; Elephantidae.